RNAcentral lists this ribosomal RNA (500 nucleotides) under uncultured bacterium. Its description in RNAcentral is "partial 16S ribosomal RNA". It matches the Rfam family "Bacterial small subunit ribosomal RNA", at positions 30 to 523 of the family's 1533-position model. The record is from RNAcentral.
AUUGAACGCUGGCGGCAGGCCUAACACAUGCAAGUCGAGCGGCAGCGGGACCUUCGGGUUGCCGGCGAGCGGCGGACGGGUGAGUAAUGCCUAGGAAUCUGCCUGUUAGUGGGGGAUAACGCGGGGAAACUCGCGCUAAUACCGCAUACGUCCUACGGGAGAAAGCGGGGGCUCUUCGGACCUCGCGCUAACAGAUGAGCCUAGGUCGGAUUAGCUAGUUGGUGGGGUAAUGGCCCACCAAGGCGACGAUCCGUAACUGGUCGGAGAGGAUGAUCAGUCACCCUGGACCUGAGACACGGUCCAGACUCCUACGGGAGGCAGCAGUGGGGAAUAUUGGACAAUGGGCGAAAGCCUGAUCCAGCCAUGCCGCGUGUGUGAAGAAGGUCUUCGGAUUGUAAAGCACUUUAAGUCGGGAGGAAGGGCUGUAGGCUAAUACCUUGCAGUUUUGACGUUACCGACAGAAUAAGCACCGGCUAACUUCGUGCCAGCCGCCGCCGUAA